AGAGUUUGAUCAUGGCUCAGAAUCAACGCUGGCGGCGUGCCUCAGACAUGCAAGUCGAACGCGAAAGUCCCCUUCGGGGGACGAGUAGAGUGGCGCACGGGUGGGUAACACGUAGGUAAUCUACCUUUGGAUUGGGAAUAACCACCGGAAACGGUGGCUAAUACCGAAUAAUGCAAGCGGCACCUAAUGGUGACAGUUGUUAAAGCGGGGGAUCGCAAGACCUCGCGUCUGAAGAGGAGCCUGCGGCAGAUUAGCUAGUUGGUAAGGUAACGGCUUACCAAGGCGAUGAUCUGUAGCCGGCCUGAGAGGGCGGUCGGCCACACUGACACUGACAUACGGGUCAGACUCCUACGGGAGGCAGCAGUCGGGAAUUUUGGGCAAUGGGCGAAAGCCUGACCCAGCAACGCCGCGUGAAGGAUGAAAUCCCUCGGGAAUGUAACUUCGCAAGAACGGGAAGAAAUAGUAGAGCUAAUAUCUCUAAUGAUGACGGUACU
This 494-nucleotide ribosomal RNA is filed under the name uncultured bacterium. RNAcentral describes it as "bacterial SSU rRNA". It matches the Rfam family "Bacterial small subunit ribosomal RNA", at positions 8 to 479 of the family's 1533-position model. The record is from RNAcentral.